Long non-coding RNA from Vitis riparia (riverbank grape), 1443 nucleotides. RefSeq lists it as uncharacterized. Lineage: Eukaryota; Viridiplantae; Streptophyta; Magnoliopsida; Vitales; Vitaceae. The transcript is spliced from 2 exons. The record is from RefSeq and is a predicted model, not a curated record.
UUCCAUAUAAGACAGACUGGCGUGAUGGACCCUUUGGGCUGUGCAGUGUGCACAGGUUCUUCCUUCUUUGAGUUGAAGGGGCCAUGAGUUGGGGUUAGAGCACGCAGCAUGGGGGCUCUACUAGGAAGAAUCCUCAUCCCAGACUAGUUUAUUAUUAGGGUCAAACCUUCUCCAGGGGAUCAGAAAUAGUCAAAGGGGGGGUUCUCUGAGAAAGUUGUGGCCUACUAUGAGUGCACUUUAAUUUGUAUGGGUUCCCUCUCUCUUUUCGCCAUUAGCUUUUGCUUUUGCCAUAAUCACACUUGUCUUCCACCACCAGCAUGGGUCUGACCAACCCCAUAUAACAAACUUCUCAGAAACCUUCUUCCCCACAACACAGUCCCCAGAUAAAAUUCUGGGUGAUGCAGAGAUUGAGACAGAGAGGGGUAAACAAGUGCCCCAUGCAACAUCCACCACGAGUGCAUGAAAGUUUUUCAUCCUCUGAAUUCCUGCUGCCAAGGAUCUGAACAGUGGGGUCACUUGAAGAGGGGAACUGAACUCUGUGCUUGACAAGUUAGAAGCAACUACAUCAUUGGUUUUUGGUUCAUCACAAGAAGGAAAAAUCUCUGCUGCAAGAAUUUAAUUAACAAAAUCAAAUACAUUAGGAUUCUAUCAAAUACAAAAUAAGAAAAAAGUCUUAUAGUUACUUUUAUUUAACAUGAAGAUUGAUUACCUUGUUUGUGAAAGAAAAAAAGAAGUACAUCUAAUAAAUACUUUUAUUUAACAUGAAAAUUGAUUACCUUGAUUUGUGGUUGUACCCGAAAGAACCCCCUUAACACAUUCUUCAAAGCCAUUUUGAUCCAUAGGAAUUGUUUGUAACCCAACUCCAAUUUCCUGAUGUAGUGCACAUAUCUCAGGUUGAGUUUGUUCUGUUUUAUCGCCUGCUGUUUGGGACACAAGAGUUGAUCCUGUACUGUAUUCAGAGCUGCCUGGAGACUCCUCAUAUAAAUCAGGUUGCCUAUGAUGGCAUCAACAAUUAGAUGCUGCAUGAAUGUGACCUGCUUAAAUAUGAAUACUAGCCCACACUGCUUUUAUUACCUCCAAGAUGGCCGACUUCCCUCAGUACUACUCCUUAAGUCCUCUACCAAAUCUUUGAAAUCUUCAAGUUGAAAAUCCAUUUCAGAAAUAUUGAAUCUGAGCAUGUCGCUUUCUUUGGUUUGAUUGAGAAAAUCUUGGAAUACCUGAAUAUAUAUUUGAUUAUUGUUAGAGGAUAUGCAAACUGUAAAUGGUAUAUUUCUUUUGAAAACUGGAUAUUACUACAUUACUCAGAGCCCUGGGCAUAAAAAUGUCACAUUGCUUCAUGCAAUACAAGAAAAAUGAAGAGUGACAGCUUGUGUUCAACUUUCUUGAUCAUAUGCUGACCACAAACUUGGUAAUCUUAAGACCGAAAAUCAACUUUGCAGAUUA